ACUUUUGCAACAAAUUAUGGUUUCACCAUUUAAGUGAAAUAAUAGGGAAUCUUGUUAAAAACAAGAGCUGUCCCCGCAACUGUAAGCUUUACUAUAAAAAGUAAGUGUACUUAAAAAACCACUGUUCGCCUUGGCGGAUGGGAAGGUAACACAAAAGCAAGCCAGGAGACCUGCCAUAAUCUAGAAUUUUUA
This 192-nucleotide non-coding RNA is filed under the name Flavobacteriaceae bacterium. Lineage: Bacteria; Pseudomonadati; Bacteroidota; Flavobacteriia; Flavobacteriales; Flavobacteriaceae. The record is from RNAcentral.